Homarus americanus (American lobster) is the source of this 5210-nucleotide long non-coding RNA. RefSeq lists it as uncharacterized. Lineage: Eukaryota; Metazoa; Arthropoda; Malacostraca; Decapoda; Nephropidae. The transcript has 2 exons. The record is from RefSeq and is a predicted model, not a curated record.
GUGCUUUAUAAUUCCCAAUUGUUGGUUGGCUUUUGUCACUGUUGCCCCCACUUAGACCACUGCCUUCAGUGAUUGAUCUAUCACAAUACCAAGAUCUUUCACUUUAUUGAAAGUAUCCAGGAAAGUGUUAUUAACAGAAUAGUGGGGAUUUGGGUUGUAUCCUACACACAGUCUUACAUUUUGCAUUGUUAAAAAUAUUUUACCAGUCUCAAGACCAUUUGAACACCUUGUGAAGGUCUUUUUGCAUGGCUGCAAAUGGUCAUGAUUGUUACCUUCUUAAAUACAGGUAUUUCCAUGUCAUCUGCAAACUUGACAAUAUGGCUCUAUAUAUUUUCAUCUAUAUCAUUUAUGUACAGUAAAACCUCUCUAAGGCAGACUAAUUGAGGAAGGGAUUAUAGGUUGUCCACCUUAGAGUCAAUUUUUCCCAAAAGACGCCAUUUUAAACAAAAAACAGUACGUACGACACCAACGUCUCCAAUUUUUAUGAAGGAAAUACUAUACAAGUUUUCUAAUCAAAAUUAAUUUUAAAAAGUAAUGUACACAAAGUACUGUACACUUACUUUUAGUUCACUGAUACGGCCAUCGGCUUAACCUCACCACCCUUAUGGGUACUAAACACUUUCUUAGAGGCGGUGUUUAUUGUUUAAUUUUUCAGUAAUAAUGAAAAAAAUAUGAAUGGUGCUUCAGCCUACGGUGAAUAUACUAAAUGUUCAAAAACUUUAAUGAUAUAAAAAAAUACAGUAGUACUGUAUUUUAGGAAAUAACUUUUGCAUAUUCCACCUGUAGCCAUAGUUUUCUUAUAUAUACAGUACCAGGAAAUGUGAGGAAUAUUACUAACAAAACUUACUGUAUUGUAUUGCCAGAAAAGUAAAUAAAAGCCAAAUGAAAGUUUAAAACACAGUCUCCUUUGCAUACACUCCCUGUUUCACCAUAGUAACGAAGAUCAGCUGGGACGGUGAUUCCCUAGCAACGCGCUCCCCAACACACACACACACACACACACACUGACUGUUUUCCCCUAACUCGUGUAGAAAGAACUGUCAAUUCCAUAUAUGUGUUUGCCCUUAGGACAAUUAUUUCUUUUACAUUUUCACAUUAUGUAUGUAGGAUGGUGUGUGCGUGUAGUAGAGUAAAAAUAAGAUGAGGAAAGUUACUUAUAUCUAUCCGAAAAUACGAGUUGAAAAACAACCAUGUAACACCUCACAGCUUGGCCCAGUAGCCUGGUGGUUACAGUAAUGAGUCUAACCUGGCUACAAUGCCAUAAUUAAUUACUGUUAAGCACUAUUAUGUCAGUAAACACUAAUAAUAAUAAUAAAUCCAGUGAAAUAUAGCAGGGAGUGAGGAGAGUUACAGACGACACUAACUAGUCACUCACUCGCUUCCUGGCUCCUGUUGCCAGGCUUAUGAUUGAAAUACAGUACGUAUAGGAGAAAUACAUACAGUAUCUUGUAGUAUAAUUUGAAAACAGUGAUAAACAAAUUAUAUAAACCAUAUAUUUACCUAUGAUAACAUAAUAAGAAACAUUGUAUCAUUACUAGAGUGAGUGAAAUAUUAUUCCCCAAAACAACAGUUGAUAACUCUUAGGCACCUGUGUCCCACAUGCUGAUGUCUUGUUUAUUUUAAUUUUUUAAUUCUUUUGGAGCAAACAAUUUUGUCCAGCUCAAGCAAUAUCCGCCUCAGUUGGGUCCACCUUAACGAGGUUUUACUGUAUAUCUUAAACAGGAUGGAUUCAAUGGUAGAUCCUUGUGCUACACCACUGAGAACCUUCUUCCAUUCUGAUUGUACACCAUUUAUGACCACCCUUUGUGUCCUGUGUUUGAAUCAGUUGUUAAUCCACUUCAAAAUUUUGUUUGUGAUGCCAUGUGGUUGGAUUUUAGAGACUACCUGUGAAUGUGGGACUUUGUCAAGCGCCCUAGAGAAAUCCACUUACACUAGCGGUCAAAAGUUUGCUCGAUCCCAAAUGAGAUAAAUUAGCACACCCACAUCAGACGAUACUCAGGGUAAGUCAGUUCAGAGACUGUUUCACCAUGGGAGCAAAAUUAUGACCAAAACUGUACAACACAUCCACUGGUAAGCCUUGAUCCAUGUAGUCUGUUACCAUUUCAAGGAAAAUGAAAAAAUUUGUUAAGCAGGAUAUUCUCUCCAUGAAACUGUGUGAUGCAUUGAUCAGUCAGGUGUUGGAAGAAGGCAUCCCUUAGAGUUUACAGACACAGUGCAUAUAUUGAGUUGACAUAAAGCAAGUGUGUGUAGUGGUUGUGGGUCAGAGUUAGUUUUUCCCCAACAUGGACCUUGUGACUCCACCUCAGUUGUCAAGAGUACAGUACAGUAUAUACAGAAGGUUUUUUCUCUGGUGGGUCCUGUCUUGUGUUGUGUGAGGAAUGAGUCUUGAAGGAGGUCAAAGAAUUCUCCUCCAGUUUGUGUGGUAAGAGUCACCAAUCCACUGUCUCAUAAUGAGAGCUUGUGUUCUGGUUGACUAUGGAGUCUGCCACUUCCCCCUGUGAGACCGAGUCAGCCUUAUAACACAAACCUACUGUCACCUUGCUUUUGUUUUAUGCUUUUAGUUCACAUCAAAUAGAUUCAGAUUGUAUAAUUUUAUUUAGCUCAUCAUUACUGGUUACUGUCAGGUGCUCCUUAACAUACAGUACAGUAGUACACCACAGGCCUGUCCUUUCUGAAUGGUGGUUGAUACCUGGUAGAAAAAAUUCACCGUGGAACACAUCUUCUUAACCCCAGGACUCUGAUGUCUGGCUGUUGUGUGUCCACCUGUGCAGCACCCAAUAGUCCAGUCUUAUUAACUAGACUUGUGUCAUUCCUGUACCAACACCAGUUUCUCUCUGGGUUACUAGUACAAUAAUACUUAAAGCUACAUUAGUGAUGAACAACUCUUAUACAAAGUACACCACAUUUCUUACUCUGUCUUCUCCUGUAAUGAAGCUGUAUUUGUUUAUUUGCUAUUGUUCUCUCAUGACAUGUUGUGUUAGCCCCAGCUGCCACACUAUCACUGUGGGUGUUGACGUAACUAUUUCCUAUAAGUUAUUUAAUACUUUACACUGAUUGUUGAUGUCAUGUUAUUUGUUGCUUUAAUUUAUCUUGUUCUUUAUCAGACUUAUCUACUGUUUCAUGAUCCUCUACACUACAGUCAUAAUUAAAUCUUUAACUUGGUGUGUGUGUUUGCAUGUUUGUUUGUUUUUAGUGUACAUACAGUAAAAGCAUAAAAUCAUUAACACCUGAGCUGAACUGAGCUGAUAUUCCAGCCCAGGUGUGCCACAAGAAAUAUGAAGAUUAGUUAUCACUGAAACUCAACUCUAAAUUAACCCAAUAUGUAUUGUAGCUACAUUAGUGUUUCUCAGUCUCAUAUAUAUUAAUUAUCUUUUAAGUUUAUUAAUAACUUUUAGCUUCAUUUUCAAAGCAGUAUUACAUUGUUUAUCAGUUAUGAUAAUUUACAAAUACUACUGUUUAUUUUACCUUUCUACUUUUAUGUUUCACUUCAGUUAAUUAAACUACAGCCUGUAUUACUAAAGUAGUUUUGAAGGAGAUUACAGGGGGUCCCCAGGUUAGGAAUGGGUGCCAUUCCUGACGACAUUCUUAGUCGGAUUGCAUGCUAGGAGCAUACCGUACUUACAGAACAAUGUUUAAAAUCCCACUAUAUCAUAGCCUAAGUCCUUAUAUACAUCUGAAAUCAUUUAAUUUAAGACAAAAAAGAAAUAGAUUGACAAUACAGUAAAUGAAAGUAAAACAUGUCAUCUGAUGAAAUAUUGUAAAUUUCAAGUUUAACACUGUUCAUAUCGGGCGUUUAUAAGUCGGGGACUCCCUGUACUUUGUACAAGUUUUAAUUUUUACAUAGUAACAAUGCAGUACUUUAUCUCAAGUAAUAUUUUCAUAUACUUUCUCCCCCACUGGCUAAAAUGGACCUGAAUUGAGCUGGACCUGAAUUGAGCUGGACCUGCAGUGAACUAGACCUGAAGUUAACUGGACCGUAAUUACUAUCUGCUCCUCAGAUCAGCCAUCACACCAGACCAGGACCUGUACGAGAGAAGGAACACUGUGGUCUACCUUACAGUAUGUUAUUGAGUUAGUUACUCUACAGUAGAAGUAAGUGACCACACCAGUACUUAACAGAUUAUUUAACUAUGUUGAGUUUUGGUGUUGCUGUGUUAUUUGAACCUUUCUAUAGAUUUGUAAACUGACUAAUGACUUUAGACGGUGUUUAAGAUUAGGUUUCUAACAGUUAAAACUGUGGUUAAGUUGUGUGGAAGUGAGACAAUGACUUAGCACUAUGCUGAAAGUGUUUAAAAGUGAGAAAGUGACUUUUAGUGAAGUUUGUAGAAGUAAGGAUAUUAGUUAAAAAAAAUUGUGUAUGGGAGAAAAUGACUAAUUAACUUCAUGAGAUUUAGAGUAUAGUUUAAUUUUUAUACAAGAAGUUGGAGGUUCAAUACUGUAGGCUUAAUACUUUUUAGGGAUUAAAAUUCUUGCUUUUCCGUGGAUCAUUUACAGUGAAAGGUACAGUACAGAGUGAGAGAAGGCUGGUUGUAUAUUAAAGUUGAGAGAGGAAAGGCUGUACUGUACUAAGUUAAUGGAUAGGGAAGACUGCCGGACAUUUGACUGAUGAGUAUUACAGUAAAGGAGGGAAAGCUGUUGAGUGUAUGACUUAAGAUAAUACAGUACUGAAGUUGUAUGAGCAAGAGAAAAGGCUGGUGAUGUGAAUUAAAACUGUGCUGAAAUAAUGUAUAAUUGAGAGAAACUUGACUAGAAUGUAAGAUUUACUGUACUGAAGCAGAUAAAGAGUGAGGGAGGACUGUAGACUAGACUGAAGUUUUAUACAAGUGAAGGAGGGAUUUGUAUUACUUAAUCUGCACUGGAUUUCUUUCUUUCUUUCGUUUCUUCCACAUCCUAGGUUAGGUUUUAUUUCAUCAGAGCCAACCAUAAAGAGAGUCAUCUAUUAACUGCAGCUGACCCCAACAUGAAGGACAUUUCAUCUAUCAACUGGAAUCAACUGCAUCUGAACCCCUUUCCCCUACCCCUUUAGAGCGGGGGUCAGAAGUCUCUUCUGGGAAGUACCUUACUCUCGGAGCAUUAUAACUCUGGGUUUAUGGCUCGGACAUUUCUGUAUCUGGGAUAAGGAGCUUCCUGGAGGAGGCGACUGGCCCUAGGAGCAGCAAUUGCUGUAUCUAGGUGUCAGCGUUAGGCUGCUUAGGUUCCCUUUUUUUUUU